GACGAACGCUGGCGGCGUGCUUAACACAUGCAAGUCGAACGGAAAGGCCCUGCUUUUGUGGGGUGCUCGAGUGGCGAACGGGUGAGUAACACGUGAGUAACCUGCCCUUGACUUUGGGAUAACUUCAGGAAACUGGGGCUAAUACCGGAUAGGAGCUCCUGCUGCAUGGUGGGGGUUGGAAAGUUUCGGCGGUUGGGGAUGGGCUCGCGGCUUAUCAGCUUGUUGGUGGGGUAGUGGCUUACCAAGGCUUUGACGGGUAGCCGGCCUGAGAGGGUGACCGGCCACAUUGGGACUGAGAUACGGCCCAGACUCCUACGGGAGGCAGCAGUGGGGAAUAUUGCACAAUGGGCGGAAGCCUGAUGCAGCAACGCCGCGCGCGGGAUGACGGCCUUCGGGUUGUAAACCGCUUUCGCCUGUGACGAAGCGUGAGUGACGGUAAUGGGUAAAGAAGCACCGGCUAACUACGUG
Molecule: ribosomal RNA, 468 nt
Filed under: uncultured bacterium
Lineage: Bacteria
Description: partial 16S ribosomal RNA
Rfam family: Bacterial small subunit ribosomal RNA
Source: RNAcentral